RNAcentral lists this ribosomal RNA (440 nucleotides) under uncultured bacterium. Its description in RNAcentral is "partial 16S ribosomal RNA". It matches the Rfam family "Bacterial small subunit ribosomal RNA", at positions 338 to 795 of the family's 1533-position model. The record is from RNAcentral.
CCUACGGGGGGCUGCAGUGGGGAAUAUUGGACAAUGGGCGCAAGCCUGAUCCAGCCAUGCCGCGUGAGUGACGAAGGUCUUCGGAUUGUAAAGCUCUUUUGGCGGGGACGAUAAUGACGGUACCCGCAGAAUAAGCCCCGGCUAACUUCGUGCCAGCAGCCGCGGUAAUACGAAGGGGGCUAGCGUUGUUCGGAAUCACUGGGCGUAAAGCGCACGUAGGCGGAUUUGUUAGUCAGGGGUGAAAUCCCGGGGCUCAACCUCGGAACUGCCUCUGAUACUGCAAAUCUCGAGUCCGAUAGAGGUGAGUGGAAUUCCUAGUGUAGAGGUGAAAUUCGUAGAUAUUAGGAAGAACACCAGUGGCGAAGGCGGCUCACUGGAUCGGUACUGACGCUGAGGUGCGAAAGCGUGGGGAGCAAACAGGAUUAGAUACCCCGGUAGUC